GACAGAGGUGCCAAGCGUUAGGCGGAAUCACUGGGCUUAAAGCGUGUGUAGGCGGAUGUCUAAGUACCUUGUGAAAUCCCACGGCUCAACCGUGGAACUGCUUGGUAUACUGGAUGUCUUGAGCCAUCUAGGGGCUACCGGAACAAAUGGUGGAGCGGUGAAAUGCGUAGAUAUCUGGAGGAACACCGGUGGCGAAGGCGGCAUCCUGGACCGACACUGACGCUGAGGAGCGAAAGCCAGGGGAGCAAACGGG
This 253-nucleotide ribosomal RNA is filed under the name uncultured bacterium. RNAcentral describes it as "partial 16S ribosomal RNA". It matches the Rfam family "Bacterial small subunit ribosomal RNA", at positions 524 to 776 of the family's 1533-position model. The record is from RNAcentral.